AGGACGAACGCUGGCGGCGUGCUUCACACAUGCAAGUCGAACGGGGCUCAUUCGGUGGUAACACCGGAGAAGGCCUAGUGGCGAACGGGUGCGUAACACGUGAAGAACCUGCCCCGAAGACUGGGAUAACAGCGGGAAACCGCUGCUAAUACCGGAUGACCCCACCAGGCCGCAUGGCCAGGUGAGGAAAUGGGCCUACCGCUUCGGGAGGGCUUCGCGGCCUAUCAGCUUGUUGGUGGGGUAACGGCCUACCAAGGCUACGACGGGUAGCUGGUCUGAGAGGACGACCAGCCACACUGGGACUGAGACACGGCCCAGACUCCUACGGAGGCAGCAGUGGGGAAUCUUGCGCAAUGGGCGAAAGCCUGACGCAGCAACGCCGCGUGAGGGAUGAAGGUCUUCGGGUUGUAAACCUCUUUCGAGCAGGGACGAUUGUGACGGUACCUGCAGAAGAAGCUCCGGCCAACUACGUGCCAGCAGCCGCGGU
RNAcentral lists this ribosomal RNA (487 nucleotides) under uncultured bacterium. RNAcentral describes it as "SSU rRNA". It matches the Rfam family "Bacterial small subunit ribosomal RNA", at positions 26 to 521 of the family's 1533-position model. The record is from RNAcentral.